GUAAUUAUCGCUGGUUAGAGCAGCCGGCUCAUAACCGGCUGGUCCGGGGUUCGAGUCCCUGUCAUCCCA
This 69-nucleotide transfer RNA is filed under the name Pseudobacteriovorax antillogorgiicola. It matches the Rfam family "tRNA". From Rfam's summary of the family: Transfer RNA (tRNA) molecules are approximately 80 nucleotides in length. Their secondary structure includes four short double-helical elements and three loops (D, anti-codon, and T loops). The record is from Rfam by way of RNAcentral. Lineage: Bacteria; Pseudomonadati; Bdellovibrionota; Oligoflexia; Oligoflexales; Pseudobacteriovoracaceae.